GACGAACGCUGGCGGCGUGCUUAACACAUGCAAGUCGAACGGAAAGGCCCUGCUUUUGUGGGGUGCUCGAGUGGCGAACGGGUGAGUAACACGUGAGUAACCUGCCCUUGACUUUGGGAUAACUUCAGGAAACUGGGGCUAAUACCGGAUGGGAGCUCCUGCUGCACGGUGGGGGUUGGAAAGUUUCGGCGGUUGGGGCUGGACUCGCGGCUUAUCAGCUUGUUGGUGGGGUAGUGGCUUACCAAGGCUUUGACGGGUAGCCGGCCUGAGAGGGUGACCGGCCACAUUGGGACUGCGAUACGGCCCAGACUCCUACGGGAGGCAGCAGGGGGAAACAUUGCACAAUGGGCGGAAGCCUGAUGCAGAAACGCCGCGUGCGGGAUGACGGCCUUCGGGUUGUAAACCGCUUUCGCCUGUAACGAAGCGUGAGUGACGGUAAUUGGUAAAGAAGCACCGGCUAACUACGUG
This 468-nucleotide ribosomal RNA is filed under the name uncultured bacterium. RNAcentral describes it as "partial 16S ribosomal RNA". It matches the Rfam family "Bacterial small subunit ribosomal RNA", at positions 28 to 507 of the family's 1533-position model. The record is from RNAcentral.